CGCGUUGGGAGCUCUCCCAUAUGGUCGACCUGCAGGCGGCCGCGAAUUCACUAGUGAUUAGAGUUUGAGCAUGGGUCAGAUUGAACGCUGGCGGCAUGCCUAAUACAUGCAAGUCGAACGGCAGCACAGUAAAGAUUUCGGUCUUUAUGGGGUGGCUAGUGGCGGACGGGUGAGUAACACGUAGGAAUCUGUCCUGGAGCGUGGGAUAACCCGAGGAAACUCGGGCUAAUACCACAUGAUAUCGAGAGAUCAAAAGCAGGGGACCGAAAGGCCUUGCGCUCUGGGGUGAGCCUACGUCGGAUUAGCUAGUUGGUGGGGUAAAAGCCUACCAAGGCGACGAUCCGUAGCGGGUCUGAGAGGAUGAUCCGCCACACUGGGACUGAGACACGGCCCAGACUCCUACGGGAGGCAGCAGUGGGGAAUCUUGGACAAUGGGGGAAACCCUGAUCCA
RNAcentral lists this ribosomal RNA (451 nucleotides) under uncultured Gammaproteobacteria bacterium. RNAcentral describes it as "bacterial SSU rRNA". The stretch from base 53 to 451 matches the Rfam family "Bacterial small subunit ribosomal RNA", at positions 1 to 390 of the family's 1533-position model. Lineage: Bacteria; Pseudomonadati; Pseudomonadota; Gammaproteobacteria. The record is from RNAcentral.